AGCGAACGCUGGCGGCAGGCUUAACACAUGCAAGUCGAGCGGACCUUUCGGGGUCAGCGGCGGACGGGUGAGUAACGCGUGGGAACGUGCCUUCCGGUUCGGAAUAACCCUGGGAAACUAGGGCUAAUACCGGAUACGCCCUUAUGGGGAAAGGUUUACUGCCGGAAGAUCGGCCCGCGUCUGAUUAGCUAGUUGGUGGGGUAACGGCCUACCAAGGCGACGAUCAGUAGCUGGUCUGAGAGGAUGAUCAGCCACACUGGGACUGAGACACGGCCCAGACUCCUACGGGAGGCAGCAGUGGGGAAUAUUGGACAAUGGGCGCAAGCCUGAUCCAGCAAUGCCGCGUGAGUGAUGAAGGCCUUAGGGUUGUAAAGCUCUUUUAUCCGGGACGAUAAUGACGGUACCGGAGGAAUAAGCCCCGGCUAACUUCGUG
Molecule: ribosomal RNA, 433 nt
Filed under: uncultured bacterium
Lineage: Bacteria
Description: partial 16S ribosomal RNA
Rfam family: Bacterial small subunit ribosomal RNA
Source: RNAcentral